RNAcentral lists this ribosomal RNA (424 nucleotides) under uncultured bacterium. RNAcentral's name for it is "bacterial SSU rRNA". It matches the Rfam family "Bacterial small subunit ribosomal RNA", at positions 357 to 772 of the family's 1533-position model. The record is from RNAcentral.
GGGAAUUUUUGUCAAUGGGGGCAACCCUGAACAAGCAACGCCGCGUGAAGGACGAAGACCUUCGGGUUGUAAACUUCUGUCGGAGGGGACGAAAGCAGUGGUGGUUAAUACCCACUAUUGUUGACGGUACCCUACGAGGAAGCCCCGGCUAACGCCGUGCCAGCAGCCGCGGUAAUACGGAGGAUCCGAGCGUUAUCCGGAAUCAUUGGGUUUAAAGGGUCCGUAGGCGGGCCAUUAAGUCAGGGGUGAAAGUCUGCGGCUCAACCGUAGAAUUGCCCUUGAUACUGGUGGUCUUGAGUUAUGGUGAAGUAACUAGAAUAUGUGGUGUAGCGGUGAAAUGCAUAGAUAUCACAUAGAAUACCGAUUGCGAAGGCAGGUUACUAACCAUAUACUGACGCUGAUGGACGAAAGCGUGGGGAGCGAA